RNAcentral lists this ribosomal RNA (301 nucleotides) under uncultured bacterium. RNAcentral describes it as "partial 16S ribosomal RNA". It matches the Rfam family "Bacterial small subunit ribosomal RNA", at positions 509 to 807 of the family's 1533-position model. The record is from RNAcentral.
CAGCCGCCACGGGAAUACAGAGGGUGCAAGCGUUAAUCGGAAUUACUGGGCGUAAAGCGCGCGUAGGUGGUUUGUUAAGUUGGAUGUGAAAUCCCCGGGCUCAACCUGGGAACUGCAUCCAAAACUGGCAAGCUAGAGUAUGGUAGAGGGUGGUGGAAUUUCCUGUGUAGCGGUGAAAUGCGUAGAUAUAGGAAGGAACACCAGUGGCGAAGGCGACCACCUGGACUGAUACUGACACUGAGGUGCGAAAGCGUGGGGAGCAAACAGGAUUAGAUACCCGAGUAGUCCCUGUCUCUUAUAC